AGGGUUAUAGUUUAUUUAAUUAAAACAUUUAAAUUGCAAUUAAAAGAGUGUAUGUGCCAUACUAACCUUA
This 70-nucleotide transfer RNA is filed under the name Caystrus obscurus. RNAcentral's name for it is "tRNA-Ala". It matches the Rfam family "tRNA". Rfam says of the family: Transfer RNA (tRNA) molecules are approximately 80 nucleotides in length. Lineage: Eukaryota; Metazoa; Arthropoda; Insecta; Hemiptera; Pentatomidae. The record is from RNAcentral.